Castor canadensis (American beaver) is the source of this 73-nucleotide non-coding RNA. The record is from the annotation of a RefSeq genome assembly. NCBI's taxonomy places the organism in Eukaryota, Metazoa, Chordata, Mammalia, Rodentia, Castoridae.
GGUAGCAUGGCUAAAGUGGUAGAGUGCCUGCUUAGCAAGCAUGAGGCCCUAGGUUCAAACCCUAGUGUUGCCA